CCUACGGGAGGCUGCAGUGGGGGAUAUUGCACAAUGGGGGGAACCCUGAUGCAGCGACGCCGCGUGGGUGAAGAAGCGCCUCGGCGCGUAAAGCCCUGUCAGCAGGGAAGAAAAUGACGGUACCUGAAGAAGAAGCCCCGGCUAACUACGUGUCAGCAGCCGCGGUAAUACGUAGGGGGCAAGCGUUAUCCGGAUUUACUGGGUGGAAAGGGGGCGCAGACGGCGAUGCAAGCCAGGGGUGAAAGCCCGGGGCCCAACCCCGGGACUGCGCUUGGAACUGCGUGGCUGGAGUGCAGGAGGGGCAGGCGGAAUUCCUGGUGUAGCGGUGAAAUGCGUAGAUAUCAGGAGGAACACCGGUGGCGAAGGCGGCCUGCUGGACUGCAACUGACGUUGAGGCCCGAAAGCGUGGGGAGCAAACAGGAUUAGAUACCCCAGUAGUC
RNAcentral lists this ribosomal RNA (440 nucleotides) under uncultured bacterium. RNAcentral describes it as "partial 16S ribosomal RNA". It matches the Rfam family "Bacterial small subunit ribosomal RNA", at positions 338 to 795 of the family's 1533-position model. The record is from RNAcentral.